GAGAAGGGCCUUCUGGAUUGUAAACUUCUUUUAUCUGAGAAGAAACCACCGAUUUCUAGUGGUGUUGACGGUACCGGAUGAAUAAGGACCGGCUAACUCCGUGCCAGCAGCCGCGGUAAUACGGAGGGUGCAAGCGUUAUCCGGAUUUACUGGGUUUAAAGGGUGUGUAGGCGGGCUAUUAAGUCAGGGGUGAAAUCCCGGGGCUCAACCUCGGAACUGCCUUUGAUACUAUUAGUCUUGAAUUAUGUUGAGGUUGGCGGAAUAUAACAUGUAGCGGUGAAAUGCAUAGAUAUGUUAUAGAACACCGAUUGCGAAGGCAGCUGGCUAAACAUAUAUUGACGCUGAGGCACGAAAGCGUGGGUAGCGAACAGGAUUAGAUACCCUGGUAGUCCACGCCCUAAACGAUGAUUACUCGUCAUUUGCGAUAUACAGUAAGUGACCAAGCGAAAGCGUUAAGUAAUCCACCUGGGAAGUACGAUCCGCAAGGUUGAAACUCAAAG
RNAcentral lists this ribosomal RNA (500 nucleotides) under uncultured bacterium. Its description in RNAcentral is "bacterial SSU rRNA". It matches the Rfam family "Bacterial small subunit ribosomal RNA", at positions 407 to 906 of the family's 1533-position model. The record is from RNAcentral.